GGCGGCAUGCUUAACACAUGCAAGUCGAACGCGGUGUUCCGGUUCGCCGGGGCACUGAGUGGCGCACGGGUGAGUAGCGCGUGGGAACCUGCCCUGUUGUGGGGGAUAACCGAGGGAAACCUCGGCUAAUACCGCAUGCGCCGGCCCUCUUGAGAGAGGGGGUCGGGAAAGAUUUAUCGCAAUAGGAGGGGCCCGCGUCGGAUUAGCUAGUUGGUGGGGUAACGGCCUACCAAGGCAGUGAUCCGUAGCUGGUCUGAGAGGAUGAUCAGCCACACUGGGACUGAGACACGGCCCAGACUCCUACGGGAGGCAGCAGUGGGGAAUAUUGGACAAUGGGCGCAAGCCUGAUCCAGCAAUGCCGCGUGAGUGAGGAAGGCCUUAGGGUUGUAAAGCUCUUUCACCCACGACGAUNAUGACGGUAGUGGGAGAAGAAGCCCCGGCUAACUUCGUGCCAGCAGCCGCGGUAAUACGAAGGGGGCGAGCGU
RNAcentral lists this ribosomal RNA (485 nucleotides) under uncultured bacterium. Its description in RNAcentral is "bacterial SSU rRNA". It matches the Rfam family "Bacterial small subunit ribosomal RNA", at positions 38 to 541 of the family's 1533-position model. The record is from RNAcentral.